This 329-nucleotide long non-coding RNA is filed under the name Macaca fascicularis (crab-eating macaque). Its description in RNAcentral is "lncRNA (ENSMFAG00000060797.1)". Lineage: Eukaryota; Metazoa; Chordata; Mammalia; Primates; Cercopithecidae. The record is from RNAcentral.
AUUUUGGGGUGACAUUUCCUGAACUUUUUUUUUUUUUUUUUAGAAACCAGGAAAGCCAGAAACCCAACCUACUUUCUCCAUCUCUCAAGGCCUUCCCAGUAGCCAAGACUUCUCUCUCUCGGGGUCUCACAUCCCUUUGGGGACCAGCAUCUCCAGAGGGAGGCCCUUCUGGCUCUGCCACGGGCUGACUGUCAGUGUCUAACGAUCCAGAGGUUCCAGCGAGGUCCUAGCUGAGGCCUUAUCCAGUGACCUGGGGAUGAGGCGAGGGGGAGGUGAGGGGCUCACAUCCAGGACUUUUCUGGAUCUACCGCCCAGUCUUGCGCCCCAGG